Molecule: ribosomal RNA, 1337 nt
Filed under: uncultured eukaryote
Lineage: Eukaryota
Description: SSU rRNA
Rfam family: Eukaryotic small subunit ribosomal RNA
Source: RNAcentral
UCGGAGAGGGAGCCUGAGAAAUGGCUACCACGUCUAAGGAUGGCAGCAGGCGCGUAAAUUACCCAAUCCUGAUACAGAGAGGUAGUGACAGAAAAUAGCAACUCAAAGCAUUCGCUUUGCUGAUUGCAAUGAGGUUCGUUUAAAACUUGUUCCGAGGAUCAAUUGGAGGGCAAGUCUGGUGCCAGCAGCCGCGGUAAUUCCAGCUCCAAUAGCGUAUAUUAAAGUUGUUGCAGUUAAAAAGCUCGUAGUUGGCCAGAUAUAUGAAUUUAAGCAAUUCCUUCAAGGAAAUGUGAAGUUUGUUCGGGCCUCAUGAGAGCCUCUGUUACUUUGAGAAAAAUAGAGUGUUUCAGGCGGGCCAGAGCUGAAAUAGUGUACCAUGGAAUAACGAGGUGGCCAUAUUUCCGUUUCUUUGGUUCUGGAAAUGUGGUUCGUGGUUGAUAGGAACAGUCGGUGGUAUUCGUAUUGAACAGUCAGAGGUGAAAUUCUUAGAUUUGUUCAAGACGCACUAGUGCGAAAGCAUCUACCAAGGAUGUCUUCAUUAAUCAAGAACGAAAGUUAGGGGAUCGAAGACGAUCAGAUACCGUCGUAGUCUUAACUGUAAACUAUGCCGACUAGAGAUCGGUGGAUAUCAUUGUAGAUUCCUUCGGCACCUUAUGAGAAAUCAAAGUUUUUGGGUUCUGGGGGGAGUAUGGUCGCAAGGCUGAAACUUAAAGGAAUUGACGGAAGGGCACCACCAGGAGUGGAGCCUGCGGCUUAAUUUGACUCAACACGGGAAAACUCACCAGGUCCAGACAUAGGAAGGAUUGACAGAUUGAGAGCUCUUUCUUGAUUCUAUGGAUGGUGGUGCAUGGCCGUUCUUAGUUGGUGGAUUGAUUUGUCUGGUUGAUUCCGACAACGAACGAGACCUUCGCCUGCUUAUUAACCGUGCUUUCUUCCGAUUGCACGUGUUCUUAGCGGACUUUGUGCGUCACAGCAUAAUGAAGCGAAGGCAAUAACAGGUCUGUGAUGCCCUUAGAUGUUCUGGGCUGCACGCGUGCUACAAUGGAACGUUCAACAAGUUGCAAAGCCGUCAGGCCUAGCAGAUCUUUGAAGACGUUUCGUGACCGGGACAGUUGAUUGCAAUUAUUCGACUCGAACGAGGAAUUCCUUGUAAUCGUGGUUCAUCAUAUCGCGCUGAAUACGUCCCUGCCCUUUGUACACACCGCCCGUCGCUCCUACCGAUUGAGCGAUCCGGUGAAUUAUUUGGACUGGCUCAGAAUGCUUUGAUGUUUCUGCGCUUGGAAAUUCUGUGAACCUUAUUGCUUAGAGGAAGGAAAAGUCGUAACAAGGUAGCCGUA